CAGUCGCCGCGGUAAUACGUAGGGUGCGAGCGUUAAUCGGAAUUACUGGGCGUAAAGGGCUCGCAGGCGGUUUCUUAAGUCUGAUGUGAAAGCCCCCGGCUCAACCGGGGAGGGUCAUUGGAAACUGGGAAACUUGAGUGCAGAAGAGGAGAGUGGAAUUCCACGUGUAGCGGUGAAAUGCGUAGAGAUGUGGAGGAACACCAGUGGCGAAGGCGACUCUCUGGUCUGUAACUGACGCUGAGGAGCGAAAGCGUGGGGAGCGAACAGGAUUAGAUACCCCUGUAGUCCCUGUCUCUUAUAC
RNAcentral lists this ribosomal RNA (301 nucleotides) under uncultured bacterium. Its description in RNAcentral is "partial 16S ribosomal RNA". It matches the Rfam family "Bacterial small subunit ribosomal RNA", at positions 509 to 807 of the family's 1533-position model. The record is from RNAcentral.